UACGGAGGGUGCAAGCGUUACUCGGAAUCACUGGGCGUAAAGAGCGCGUAGGCGGGAUAGCAAGUCAGAUGUGAAAUCCUAUGGCUUAACCAUAGAACUGCAUUUGAAACUGUUAUUCUAGAGUAUGGGAGAGGUAGGUGGAAUUCUUGGUGUAGGGGUAAAAUCCGUAGAGAUCAAGAGGAAUACUCAUUGCGAAGGCGGCCGCCUGGCCUGUUAACUGACGCUGAGGCACGAAAGCGUGGGGAGCAAAUAGG
RNAcentral lists this ribosomal RNA (254 nucleotides) under uncultured Helicobacteraceae bacterium. Its description in RNAcentral is "partial 16S ribosomal RNA". It matches the Rfam family "Bacterial small subunit ribosomal RNA", at positions 524 to 776 of the family's 1533-position model. The record is from RNAcentral. Lineage: Bacteria; Pseudomonadati; Campylobacterota; Epsilonproteobacteria; Campylobacterales; Helicobacteraceae.